UUUCCAAAUAUGUAGGUUUUCUAGAUAUCGUUAUUAAUUUCUAAUACAAUUUCAUUGUGUAUAGAGAACAUAUUCUGGAAAUUUCAAUCUGUUGACUUUUGAGACUUAUUUUAUGGCCCAGUAUUUGGUCUGUUUUGCUAAAUGUAUUAUGUGCACUUGCAAAGAAUGUAUUUUCUACAGUUACUGCUUGUAGUGUUCUAUAAAUGUCAACAGAAAUUGACAAGCUGGCCAAUAUGUCCUUUUACACUUUUUGUCUAAUUCUAUCAAUUGCUGAAAGAAAAAGUGCUAACAUAUCCAACUAUGAUCGUGGAUUAAAUUCUAUCAAUUUUUACUUGAUGUACUGUGAAGUAAUGUUAGUUGCGUACAUAUUUAUGGUUUUCUACUGAAUUGACUGUUUAUCAUUAUGAAAUGCCCCCCUUUAUUUCUGGUAACACCCCUCAUUUUGAAGCCUACUUUAUCUAACAUUAAUAUAGUAUCAGGCUUUUUUUAUCCUUUGUGUUUUUUUGUUUGUUUGUUUGUUUUGCGGUACGCGGGCCUCUCACUGCUGUGGCCUCUCCCGUUGCAGAGCACAGGCUCUGGACGCGCAGGCUCAGCGGCCAUGGCUCACGGGCCCAGCCACUCCACAGCAUGUGGGCUCCCCCCGGACCGGGGCACGAACGCCUGUCCCCUGCAUUGGCAGGUGGACUCUCAACCACCGUGCCACCAGACUAUCAGAGCUGGAUUAUUCAUCAAAGAUUUGUGUUUGCUUCAGUGGCUGAUAUACCACACAGCCCAAGGAUCAGCUCAGCUAAGACAAGGCUUUGUCAUGACAGGACUGCUGCGCGGAGGUCUGUCUCAGACUUUCCUUCCACAAAGGAAGGGGUCCGCCAGCCAAGAGAAAGUCCUUUCCAACACAGAUAGCAUCACAUGCCCUGCUGGCUCUUGGAACUACAUACAUAGAGCCGAAGCCUUGCUCUCAAUUCUUCGGGAACCUGUCUGGGCCAUCUUCUCGCUCGUUUCUGGCUGACGGGGCAGCAGGGGCUGCGCAGGCCUCAGCCUCCUCGUGAUCAUCGUAACACGUUCUGCGUUCCAGCUCCUGAUGCCCAGGGAAUGUGCUGGCCUCCGUGCUGCCUGUGUCACGGGACCUUUCCUAAUCUGGAACAUCCUCGCCCAAGAAACCCCAACUCUCGGCUCAUCCUACACCUAUUUUUCUCUUAUUUGUGCUGAUGCUUCAGUUGGUUGCGCUUCCACCGUGGGCUCUGGCUCCAGAGGAAGAGAUGGUGGCUUUGUGAGCUGGGAUGUUCCUCCGACACCUAGUAACAAAACAAACAGCUUGAAUUCUCAGUUCCAUGGUUCCAGAAGAAAUCAAUAUUUUCACUGUCAAGUUUCAAGAAAAAAACCCAUAUUUUCUGAGACUAGUGGGACUGUGGCAUAUCUGGGCAGCUGUGAAGGAAGACCAUAACUGAAGAAAUAAAGCAACAGUCAAGUGUGCCUUCAGUGACCUUAUAAAAGAAAUGUUUAAUUAGCUGCACCAUGCUGACUUAUAAUAAGGCAGUGAGAAUUAAAGUGAGACUACAUAACGAAAGGUGCUGCAAUGUAUUUCUAAACCUGAAUAUUGUAAAGACCCAGUGUACCGACAUCCAGCUAAGACUGCCAGUAGCUGUUAACUUUUACACAAAUUGCCUUAAGGAAACAAGUGACAGUUCGGCCACCCUUGGGCUUUUUCCCCCUUCUAGGCAGCACUACGUUGGAUGUGUCCUGAGUCUGAAAAGCACAAGCCUCAUUCCAAGCUAUAAUCUCUUUGCAGGCACAUGUGGCUUGUACCCACAGGUCUUCAUAUAGCUGUGUGUAGCUUCCUACCUGAGGGGAGCUUCCUAUACGCGGCUGCUGAAGACAUUGCCUGUCCUAGAGCUUGAUUAGAACCCAGAGGCUGCUGGAAACUGGCGGCUUUACUGGUUGAAGUGGUCCGCUGCUUUGAUUUGGGAUCUUUAACUGGUUUAGUCCAGACCAGUGCCUCCCCGACCUGGAGAGCAGCUCCCAACUUCUGGGCCGUCUCCACCAUCUUGUGCCCAAGUGGGAAGGAAAAAAAAAAAGAGUCACAGGGCUGACCGGCAGAGACAAGCCUCAUCCCAGGUCUUCAGCAGGCAGGUGGGGAUUAGCUGAAAUAGUGUCUGCUGUACUAGCAUUUGAGGGAGGAAACACUUACUGCAAAGAAAUCAUUCUCAAACAGCAGAGACCACAUUGCCCUGAGUGGAUGGCAAGGGAGUUCUUUAAAGGCUCUCAAACCCAACAAUUCAAGUUUGGUGCAUUGUUGGACUAAAUUCCUGCCUUUCCUAUGUGAGGAGAAUGGGAGGAAGCUACAAAGAGACAUAAUACAACUCAUUUGAGCUGAGGUCUAUCAAUACUGGAUAUAACUCAGUAAGCCUGAAUUUCCUCUUAUUAUUUUUGUCCAGGAAAGUUUCUUCUCAAGCUGUUCUUAAUUGAAGAAUUCAUGCCACUAGGAAUGUCUAAGCCAAAACAGGCAUGAGCCUAUAUAACACCUUAUAUUUGGGUUAUUUGGGCUUGAUUCAAAAGUCUCUUGACAGCUUGCUUAUGACUCCUAGGAGCUAAGGCUUACCUCCGGGUCAAAUUCCAGGGAGCUGCUGUCCUUGAGUAGGUUGACUUUCUUCUCCAUCUCCUGGUACUGGGCCAGGGCGCCCCUCUCCUCUCCCUGGUUGUACAGCAGCACAGCAUAGUUCAGGUUUACCAAAGGGUUACACCUGUGCAAACAGACAGCAAUUCUUAUGGAGCUGGGGCUUCGCAACACAUGGUCACUUAGAGAUCCUUCUCACUGCACAAAAAUAAAACUGGCUAAGUACAGACAGCUCCGCUCCACUCCACAGCAAGGUGGGGCACACACGUGUUGUGUGGACCUUUGGAGAAGAAUCAGGGAGUUAACUUCCCAACCAGCAAAGCAGGUACUGGGACCAAGCCUGACAUCUCAGCCCUCAAAAGAGACGAAAAACAGGUCCCUACCCUGCUGCCUAACAGAGGCCAAUGGAAUAAAUCCCAGGAGAGUCAAGUUUAUCUUAAAUUAAACUGAGCCCAGAGUCCCAUGUGACAUUCCAGCGAGCCCACAGCUAUCAACAGCCCAAGCCCACUGCCAGCUCUCACUUUCUCUGGCCUCCUGACUACUAAGGGCUGGAAACGUUUUCUCAGAAAGAGUCAGCAUCGGGUCCUGCCGAGCCUCUCUGUGCUCAGAGCCACGUCCUGCAGCACAGAGGCCCGCUGUGCACAGAGGCCCGGGGAGCGAGCAGCUGGGCUGGCUCGGCAACGCCGGGGCCGUGGCGCCACCUCGCGGCUCUGCGGCGCCCAGCCCUCCCAGCGGCGUUCCCGACAGGGCGGCUUACUUAUCCAGGCGGACUGCUUCUGUGUAGGCUCUCCGGGCAUUCUCUGUGUCUUCCAGGUUGGUCAGAGCCACUGCAACGAAGAAAGUGAGUGCAGUGGCUGAAGAGCCCAGCGGAGAAAACACAGGCAAUGUUUCAAGACGGCAGUUCAUUCAGCCGCCAAACCUAACUAACUCCUGCUGUGCCCGCCCAGCUCCUGGCACCACCGUCUGCACAGCCACUCAGCUUGGAUUCCAGGUAUCAUCUUGUUCAACGGUCCCCUCUCCACAGUUAGUCAGCGGCUGGGUUCCAUGAAUUCCAUUUUUUACAGCUUCUUUGGUGACACUGCCCUGGUUUAGUCAUGUCAGGCCUUCCGUUUUGUUCCCCAAGGGCACUGUCCCGCUUGCCACAGCGCAGGCUGCCAGGUAUCUCGCUGACUGAGACAAAUCUGACCGCGUCACUGGCCUACUCAGGAAUACUCACAUGCUCACUGCUCUCCAGCACCCAUAACCGUACCUUUAAACUUUUGUUUAGCAACAGAACACUCUCCCUUUUUAAAUCAGUACUUUCUGAAAGCCUGACCUAUAACCCAAACAACAGCAGAGCUGCUCUGGAAGCCCUGCCCACUCCACCUCCCCAGCUGUUCAUCUACUUCUACCAGACACAAGAGGAGAUCCACGAACACAGCUGGGAAAAACAGAGCCUCUGGGAUCAAGUGUACAGUCCCUGUGCUGUACUCAAUGGUCCUCCAUACUCUGACGCCAGACUACCUCUCCUGACUCAUCUCCCACCACGUUCUACAACACUAUUGCCCAUAACGGCCUGGUACCUCUUGCAGUUUCAUGGCUGCAUGCCUUUACUCAGGGACUUCUCAGCCAUUCUGUACUACUGAAUUCCAGCUUAUCUUUUCACAGCUCACUGUGAAGAUCAUCUCUACUUUGCGAAGUUAGAAUUGCUGCUUAUGCCAUACGGUACAGCUAUUUGUUUACAUUCCUGUAUCCCAUUAUGACUGGGCUAUCUUUGUAUUCAGAGAGCCCCCAAGUAACCACCACUCAAUUUGUUUUUGCAACCUUUCUCUUAUAAAUCAGAACCUCACAGUAAUGACCAAAACACACAAACAAACAAAAAAAAAGACCAAAAAGACACCUGAAGACUACUGUCAAUGAGAACAUGGAAACUGCUUUUAGGUAUACAUUUCUUAACUUUAGUAUAUGGAGAAGUAUCCUCCAGAAAGAAUAUUUAGUAUAAGGAGAAGAAUCCCCCAGAAAGAAUAUUUAGUCAGUACUUUUAUACUGUAGAGCAACAACAGUAAUAGACUAAUUAUAUAAUGACAACAAAACCAGCAGUUAACAUUCAUUGUGUCUAAUCAUGUAAUCCUUUCAUCAACCCUAUGAGAUAUAGCUAGUAAGUAGUAGAGGCAGGACCCUACCUAAAGCCCAAGAUCGUAACACCUGCUGAUAACUGGAGCUUGGCUGGAUUCAACAGAUGAACUGUCAUGGGAAAACCACUGUUAAAAGAUGAACUAGAGACGAACCUGAUUGAACCUGCUGGUCUCUGAGUGAAAUUCCCCUAAGUGAGAAGCAACAAGGUGCUUUGUCAUCUUUUUCUUUCAUAUUUCUUCAAACUCCAGGACAGUAAUCCAGAUUCCUAUGGGAUCUGCAAGGGAAUGGCUUCUAUGGGACAUUUAACCACUGGCCUCCUAUGAUUCUAAUUCAUUUUUCCCUGAGUACAGACUGCGAAAGGGGUUCUUCACACAAAUGUCUCUUACCAGCCAAGAGCAUGUAGAGCUCCCCCAUCUUUGGCUGGAAGUUGAUGGCUGCACUGAGAAAAUGGAAGGCUGAUGCAUACUGCUGCAUAGUCAAGUGGACGAGGCCCAGAUUAUACAGAAUCUUCCAGUCGAAGGGUGCCAAGUAGUUGGCUCGUUUCAGGCAGCUGAUAGCCUGGAGGAGAGAGCAGGCACUCGGUGAGAGGCUGGGGCAAGCUGGCAGAACCAGCAACUGAACACAAACCAAGAAAAUGAGGAGACACUCACUGCCACGUAUUUCUUCUUGCCAAAGAAACACAUCCCAAUGUUAUUCCAGAGUGGAGGACUUUCUGGAACAGCACAAGCUACAAUUCUGUAUUUGGUGAGGGCAACAUCAAAGUCCCCAUGGGUCUGCAUCAUGCUGCCUGCUGCCAAGAUGGCCUGAAAACAUGGGAUAUGGAAAGUUGGUAAUUCAGUCAUUCCCAAAAGGCUGUUGCAGUGAAGUAGCCUUCCUGAGUGUAGAUACUCAGCAGGCCCAUCAGCACUGGUGGGACUGAAAAGCUUCUUCCAGGGACCUAUAUACUAUAUCCAAGCUAUUGGAACAGACGCUCAUGAAGAACACUCCUGCACCCCACGCUGGCUCUCUUCGGCAUAAUACAGAAAAGUCACUGACUUUACCCAGCUUAUUUCUUUCCUACUGGUGGCCAGGGAAGUCACUAUUUCAGAGUAUCAGGGCCCUGGGACGUGGCUGGGAAGAAGGAACAACAGGAAUGGCCUCUGCCCCAAAGCCCUAGCGGUACCACAGCUUCUCCUCCCACCACAAAAUGCCAGCCCCUCUGACCCCAGUUACUUCUCGUAUGUGUUCUUGCCUUGGUUGGAUAAGAACUGUAAUUGCACUAGGCUCAAACAGAUUUAAUUUGCUUCUGAUUUGAAUGCUGAAAAUUAAUUCCUUUAGCAGACAAAGAAUAUCAAAUGCAGAGAGUAAAGUUCAUGUCCUUCUUA
Lagenorhynchus albirostris (white-beaked dolphin) is the source of this 6090-nucleotide long non-coding RNA. RefSeq lists it as uncharacterized. The transcript has 3 exons. NCBI's taxonomy places the organism in Eukaryota, Metazoa, Chordata, Mammalia, Artiodactyla, Delphinidae. The record is from RefSeq and is a predicted model, not a curated record.